CCCACUUGUGGUUGGUGAAGAAAUGUGCUGAAUUUAUUUUCAAUGUGGUGCGUGGGAAUAGAGCAGGUAAAGCCAUCAGGUUGCAGGUCAAGUCUGCUAACAUUUUCCUAUAAAUAGAGGGCUUAGUUAGAAUUGAAAAUCACACCAGAAACAAGUUUUCUCUCUUUCUCUCUCCAGAUUAUUGAGUGUUUUUUGUGAGUAUUUAGAUACUUUGUGAGUUUCUAUUCAUCAGUGCAAGUUUCCUUCAGCCUUAUACCGAUAUUCCGAUCAGAAGUACUGAUAUUUUGAGGUAAGGGAUGUUAUUUUCUUCAUAUAUGAUAUUAUUUCUUCAAUAUCAUUAUGCCGAAGUAUUGAUCUGAAUUUUUAUCAAAUUUAGAACUUUUUUUGUCGGGGUUACUAUUCAAAUAUACGGCACUAUUCACCGAAAAAUAAAAUUUUUUUCUUUUUAUCCAAGAUGUCUAUUAUGG
Molecule: long non-coding RNA, 467 nt
Filed under: Panax ginseng (ginseng)
Lineage: Eukaryota; Viridiplantae; Streptophyta; Magnoliopsida; Apiales; Araliaceae
Description: long non-coding RNA (PGIN_LNC019134)
Source: RNAcentral